GACGAACGCUGGCGGCGUGCUUAACACAUGCAAGUCGAACGGAAAGGCCUCCUUGUUGGGUACCCGAGUGGCGAACGGGUCGUUAACACGCUAGUUUCCUACCCUUGAUUUUGUGAUAACUUCUUGAUACACGGGCUAUUACCGCAUAGGAUCUCCUGUUGCAUGUUGGGGGUCGUUGUGAUUCGGCGUCUGGGGAUGGUCUGGCGGCGUAUGAGCUUGUUGGUGGGGAAGUGGCUCACCAAGGCCUUGUCGGAUAGGCUGCCCGGGCGGGUGGCCGGCCACAUAGGGUCUGAGAGAGGGACCAGACUGCUACGGUAGGCAGCAGGGGGGAAUAUAGCACAAUGGGCGGAAGACAGAUGCAGCAACGCCUCGUGCGUGAGGACGGCCUGCGGGUUGGAAACCACUGUCGCCUGUGACGUAGAGUGAGUGACGGUAAUGGGUAAAGAAGCACCGGCUAACUACGUG
RNAcentral lists this ribosomal RNA (465 nucleotides) under uncultured bacterium. Its description in RNAcentral is "partial 16S ribosomal RNA". It matches the Rfam family "Bacterial small subunit ribosomal RNA", at positions 28 to 507 of the family's 1533-position model. The record is from RNAcentral.